UCAUAACUACUACUCCAUAUGCUGAAACAACUGAAACUGACAGUGAAAAUUUAAUAGUUAAUAGCACAAAACCACUUGGACCAUAUCCGAAUGCUGCAUAUAAUAAUGAAUAUUUAAAUACUUUAUCAAUAACUGUAGCUCCGAUACAAAACAAUUUGACAGUCCCUAAUUCUGACGAUAGAUGGCAAAACUUUAGUCAAUCUUCAAAUGAAUUUGGAAGUAAUACUACAAACAAUAAUAUAAAUACAGCAACAAAUAUUGUUUAUCCAUCAACAGAAACUUAUUUGACAGAAAUGAGAAAUUCGUAUCCAUAUCCAAGGUCUUGGUAUAAUUCAAAGGUAGAUCGACUGUCUAUAACGACAAAUUCCUAUACAAACGAAGAAGCUGCUUUACCGCCUUCUUACGAUGAUCGAUGGCAAAGAUUUUCCUCAUUAAGAAAAUUAUAUCAAUCGUCUGGCUUUCGACCUCUCGCUGGCUUGUACUAUGAUGGAUUUCUACACAAAUCUUUAACUAAAGAGAUGGGAUUUAUUCCGUACCAUCAAAAUGGUUAUUAUUAUAAUUGAUGAUGUACCAUGAUUUUUUUGUAAGUAUUUAAUCCGCCGCGCUGCUCCAGUGCGGGUUAGUGGAUGGAUGACAUAUGGCAGAAUAUCAGAUUUCCUCACAAAUUUCUCCUUUCCCGCUGAGCACAAGAUGAAUAUUGAAAAUUAAGCACAUGAAAACUGAACGGCGCUCACCUGGAUUUGACUCGACUCGACUCAGUAAAUACAUUCCUUUUUUUAAAUGUAAAUUUAUCUGAAUUAAUUUACGUAUCUAAUAAGUGUCUACAAAGUUUUAUUAAUUAAUAUGUAAUAUUAAUUAAAUCAGUUUAUAAGCUUUUAUUGUAUUUUAUAUUAAAUCGUUCACAUAGAUA
This is a long non-coding RNA of Nymphalis io (European peacock), 910 nucleotides long. RefSeq lists it as uncharacterized. The transcript has 2 exons. The record is from RefSeq and is a predicted model, not a curated record. Lineage: Eukaryota; Metazoa; Arthropoda; Insecta; Lepidoptera; Nymphalidae.